GAUGAAGAACGUAGCGAAAUGCGAUACGUAAUGUGAAUUGCAAAUUCAGUGAAUCAUCGAGUCUUUGAACGCACAUUGCGCCCCCUGGUAUUCCGGGGGGCAUGCCUGUCCGAGCGUCAUUGCUGCCCUCAAGCACGGCUUGUGUGUUGGGCCCCGUCCUCCGAUUCCGGGGGACGGGCCCGAAAGGCAGCGGCGGCACCGCGUCCGGUCCUCGAGCGUAUGGGGCUUUGUCACCCGCUCUGUAGGCCCGGCCGGCGCUUGCCGAUCAACCCAAAUUUUUAUCCAGGUUGACCUCGGAUCAGGUAGGGAUACCCGCUGAACUUAAGCAUAUCAAUAAGCGGGAGGA
RNAcentral lists this unclassified non-coding RNA (346 nucleotides) under soil metagenome. RNAcentral describes it as "partial contains 5.8S ribosomal RNA, internal transcribed spacer 2, and large subunit ribosomal RNA". The stretch from base 1 to 119 matches the Rfam family "5.8S ribosomal RNA", at positions 35 to 154 of the family's 154-position model. The record is from RNAcentral.